Molecule: ribosomal RNA, 396 nt
Filed under: uncultured bacterium
Lineage: Bacteria
Description: bacterial SSU rRNA
Rfam family: Bacterial small subunit ribosomal RNA
Source: RNAcentral
GUGUCAGCAGCCGCGGUAAUACGUAGGGUGCGAGCGUUGUCCGGAAUUAUUGGGCGUAAAGGGCUCGUAGGCGGUUUGUCGCGUCGGGAGUGAAAACCAGGUGCUUAACACCUGGCUUGCUUUCGAUACGGGCAGACUAGAGGUAUGCAGGGGAGAACGGAAUUCCUGGUGUAGCGGUGAAAUGCGCAGAUAUCAGGAGGAACACCGGUGGCGAAGGCGGUUCUCUGGGCAUGACCUGACGCUGAGGAGCGAAAGUGUGGGGAGCGAACAGGAUUAGAUACCCUGGUAGUCCACACCGUAAACGUUGGGCGCUAGGUGUGGGAUCCAUUCCACGGGUUCCGUGCCGCAGCUAACGCAUUAAGCGCCCCGCCUGGGGAGUACGGCCGCAAGGCUAAA